AUAGAUUUUCUUAAUACUCUGUUCAAACCACAGGAACAGACAAACAGGAGGUUUGUCUGAGGAGCCUCUGAGCCAGGAUGGCGAAUAGGAUCCGGUUCCGUAAACAUCCUACACUCUUCUUUACAAGAGUAUUUAGAAAAUCUCCUUUCCGC
RNAcentral lists this non-coding RNA (152 nucleotides) under human gut metagenome. The record is from RNAcentral.